UAGGCCUACAUUUGCCACAUUGCUUUCGGAAAGCAGGAGAUAUACUUUCGGUUGACCUAGAGUUUGCUGCAACAGGGUGUGCUGGAGUAUCUGUCUGCCUUCGAUGAAGAAACCACGGAAGUUUGUUCUCUGGACACUCCUUCUAGACCUCUUGCUCUCCCUCUGGUAGAAGAGGAGGAAGCAGUGUCUGAACCAGAGCCUGAGGGGUUGCCAGAGGCCUGUGAUGACUUGGAGUUAGCAGAUGACAAUCUUAAAGAGGGGACCAUUUGCACUGAGUCCAGCCAGCAGGAACCCAUCACCAAGUCAGGCUUCACACGCCUCAGCAGCUCUCCUUGUUACUACUUUUACCAAGCGGAAGAUGGACAGCACAUGUUCCUGCACCCCGUGAAUGUGCGCUGCCUCGUGCGGGAGUACGGCAGCCUGGAGAGGAGCCCCGAGAAGAUCUCAG
RNAcentral lists this small RNA (448 nucleotides) under Pongo abelii (Sumatran orangutan). RNAcentral describes it as "retained intron". Lineage: Eukaryota; Metazoa; Chordata; Mammalia; Primates; Hominidae. The record is from RNAcentral.